CUUGGUCAUUUAGAGGAAGUAAAAGUCGUAACAAGGUUUCCGUAGGUGAACCUGCGGAAGGAUCAUUACCGAGAACGCCCUGGGGAUGCUUGCUGGCCCGUAACAAACGGGCAUGUGCACUCUCCGGAGUUCUUCCAGUGAACCCUCACUUGACACCAUGUGCACCUUUUGUAGGCUCGAGAAAUCGGCCUACGUUACACACAUACAUACCACACUUUGAAUGUAUUUUGUUGGCAAAAUAAAUUGAAACACAACUUUCAACAAUGGAUCUCUUGGCUCUCGCAUCGAUGAAGAACGCAGCGAAAUGCGAUACGUAAUGUGAAUUGCAGAAUUCCGUGAAUCAUCGAAUCUUUGAACGCACCUUGCGCCCCUUGGUAUUCCGAGGGGCAUGCCUGUUUGAGUGUCAUUGAAUUCUCAAAAUUCUGAACCUCGCGGUUCAGGCUUUUGGAUAUGGAGAGUGCCGGCCUUCAACCGAGUUCGGCUCCUCUGAAAAGCAUUAGCAAAACCCUCUCCCCGAUGGCUUUGUGGCAUUGAUAAGACUGUCCAUGCCUUUGCCCUCCGGCGGAAAGCGGUUGCUUUGAACAAACCUUUAACCUUGACCAUUGACCUCAAAUCAGGUAGGACUACCCGCUGAACUUAAGCAUAUCAAUAAGCGGAGGAAAAGAAACUAACAAGGAUUCCCCUAGUAACUGCGAGUGAAGCGGGAAGAGCUCAAAUUUAAAAUCUGGCGGUCUUGCAUGGCCGCUCGAGUUGUAAUCUAGAGAAGCGUCUUCCGCGCUGGACCGUGUACAAGUCUCUUGGAAUGGAGCGUCGUAGAGGGUGACAAUCCCGUCUUUGACACGGACUGCCAGGGCUUUUGUGAUGCGCUCUCGAAGAGUCGAGUUGUUUGGGAAUGCAGCUCAAAAUGGGUGGUAAAUUCCAUCUAAAGCUAAAUACGGGCGAGAGACCGAUAGCGAACAAGUACCGUGAGGGAAAGAUGAAAAGAACUUUGAAAAGAGAGUUAAACAGUACGUGAAAUUGUUGAAAGGGAAACGAUUCAAGUCAGUCGCGUCGACCGGCAAUCAACCCUUGCAUUGAUUUGCUGGGCUUACUUUCCGGGUUCGAUGGGUCAGCAUCAAUUUUGAUCAUCGGACAAUGGCUUGGGGAACGUGGCAUCCUUCGGGAUGUGUUACAGCCCUUUGUUCCGCAUGCGAUGGUUGGGAUUGAGGAACUCAGCACGCCGAAAGGUCGGGGUUAUCGCCCACGUUUACGUGCUUAGGAUGCUGGCGUAAUGGCUUGAACCGACCCGUCUUGAAACACGGACC
This 1304-nucleotide ribosomal RNA is filed under the name uncultured fungus. RNAcentral's name for it is "eukaryotic LSU rRNA". The stretch from base 604 to 1304 matches the Rfam family "Eukaryotic large subunit ribosomal RNA", at positions 1 to 667 of the family's 3401-position model. Lineage: Eukaryota; Fungi. The record is from RNAcentral.